UUGAACGCUGGCGGAAUGCUUUACACAUGCAAGUCGAGCGGCAGCGCGGGGGCAACCCUGGCGGCGAGCGGCGAACGGGUGAGUAAUACAUCGGAACGUACCCAGUUGUGGGGGAUAGCCCGGCGAAAGCCGGAUUAAUACCGCAUAAGUCCUGAGGGAGAAAGCGGGGGACCGUAAGGCCUCGCGCGAUCGGAGCGGCCGAUGUCAGAUUAGGUAGUUGGUGGGGUAAAGGCUCACCAAGCCGACGAUCUGUAGCUGGUCUGAGAGGACGACCAGCCACACUGGGACUGAGACACGGCCCAGACUCCUACGGGAGGCAGCAGUGGGGAAUUUUGGACAAUGGGCGAAAGCCUGAUCCAGCAAUGCCGCGUGCAGGAAGAAGGCCUUCGGGUUGUAAACUGCUUUUGUACGGAGCGAAAAGGCUCUCUCUAAUACAGGGGGCUCAUGACGGUACCGUAAGAAUAAGCACCGGCUAACUACGU
This 482-nucleotide ribosomal RNA is filed under the name uncultured bacterium. RNAcentral describes it as "bacterial SSU rRNA". It matches the Rfam family "Bacterial small subunit ribosomal RNA", at positions 29 to 506 of the family's 1533-position model. The record is from RNAcentral.